Molecule: ribosomal RNA, 429 nt
Filed under: Pseudomonadota bacterium
Lineage: Bacteria; Pseudomonadati; Pseudomonadota
Description: Proteobacteria bacterium partial 16S ribosomal RNA
Rfam family: Bacterial small subunit ribosomal RNA
Source: RNAcentral
UGGGGAAUAUUGGACAAUGGGCGAAAGCCUGAUCCAGCCAUGCCGCGUGUGUGAAGAAGGUCUUCGGAUUGUAAAGCACUUUAAGUUGGGAGGAAGGGCAGUAAGCGAAUACCUUGCUGUUUUGACGUUACCGACAGAAUAAGCACCGGCUAACUCUGUGCCAGCCGCCGCGGUAAUACAGAGGGUGCAAGCGUUAAUCGGAAUUACUGGGCGUAAAGCGCGCGUAGGUGGUUCGUUAAGUUGAAUGUGAAAGCCCCGGGCUCAACCUGGGAACUGCAUCCAAAACUGGCGAGCUAGAGUAGGGCAGAGGGUGGUGGAAUUUCCUGUGUAGCGGUGAAAUGCGUAGAUAUAGGAAGGAACACCAGUGGCGAAGGCGACCACCUGGGCUCAUACUGACACUGAGGUGCGAAAGCGUGGGGAGCAAACAGG